Molecule: long non-coding RNA, 331 nt
Filed under: Callithrix jacchus (white-tufted-ear marmoset)
Lineage: Eukaryota; Metazoa; Chordata; Mammalia; Primates; Cebidae
Description: lncRNA (ENSCJAG00000081129.1)
Source: RNAcentral
GCCAUGUUCACAUUCUUUGUCCUGCUUUGCCGUCUUCUGCUAUGAUUAUGAGGCCUCCCCAGCCAUGUGGAACUGGCCCGUCCUAGAGCCUCGGGGACCACAAUUCUUGUGUCCGGUAGAAUCCACCAUCCUGUGGAAUCUUGUGUGCCCCCUUGUUCUUUAGCAAAGUUUUCUUCAUCAGCCUCAUCACUCACUACAGAUGUUACUUUAAGACAUUCUGGAGCAGCAUCAUGUGCAGGUCAGUGAGUUUCCUGUUUCUUAUUUUGGAUGUUUCACUGAUGUUAAUUCAUCAACGUUGAAUUCAUGACCAACAGCACCAUAACUAGUGCCU